UGGGGAAUAUUGCACAAUGGGCGCAAGCCUGAUGCAGCCAUGCCGCGUGUGUGAAGAAGGCCUCGGGUUGUAAAGCACUUUCAGCGAAGGAGGAAGGUGGUGGACUUAAUACGUUCAUCAAUUGACGUUACUCGCAGAAGAAGCACCGGCUAACUCCGUGCCAGCAGCCGCGGUAAUACGGAGGGUGCAAGCGUUAAUCGGAAUUACUGGGCGUAAAAGCGCACGCAAGGCGGUUUGUUAAGUCAGAUGUGAAAAUCCCCGGGCUCAACCUGGGAACUGUCAUUUGAAAACUGGCAAGCUAGAGUCUCGUAGAGGGGGGUAGAAAUUCCAGGUGUAGCGGUGAAAUGCGUAGAGAUCUGGAGGAAUACCGGUGGCGAAGGCGGCCCCCCUGGACGAAGAACUGACGCUCAGGUGGCGAAAAAGCGUGGGGAGCAAAACAGGAUUAGAUAACCCCUGGUA
This 459-nucleotide ribosomal RNA is filed under the name uncultured bacterium. RNAcentral's name for it is "partial 16S ribosomal RNA". It matches the Rfam family "Bacterial small subunit ribosomal RNA", at positions 355 to 792 of the family's 1533-position model. The record is from RNAcentral.